GAUGAACGCUGGCGGCGUGCCUAAUACAUGCAAGUCGAGCGAACGGACGAGAAGCUUGCUUCUCUGAUGUUAGCGGCGGACGGGUGAGUAACACGUGGAUAACCUACCUAUAAGACUGGGAUAACUUCGGGAAACCGGAGCUAAUACCGGAUAAUAUUUUGAACCGCAUGGUUCAAAAGUGAAAGACGGUCUUGCUGUCACUUAUAGAUGGAUCCGCGCUGCAUUAGCUAGUUGGUAAGGUAACGGCUUACCAAGGCAACGAUGCAUAGCCGACCUGAGAGGGUGAUCGGCCACACUGGAACUGAGACACGGUCCAGACUCCUAAGGGAGGCAGCAGUAGGGAAUAUUCCGAAAUGGGCGAAAGCCUGACGGAGCAACGCCGCGUGAGUGAUGAAGGUCUUCGGAUCGUAAAACUCUGUUAUUAGGGAAGAACAUAUGUGUAAGUAACUGUGCACAUCUUGACGGUACCUAAUCAGAAAGCCACGGCUAACUACGUG
RNAcentral lists this ribosomal RNA (497 nucleotides) under uncultured bacterium. Its description in RNAcentral is "partial 16S ribosomal RNA". It matches the Rfam family "Bacterial small subunit ribosomal RNA", at positions 28 to 507 of the family's 1533-position model. The record is from RNAcentral.